AGCAGCCGCGGUAAUUCCAGCUCCAAUAGCGUAUAUUAAAGUUGUUGCAGUUAAAAAGCUCGUAGUUGAAUUUCGGAAUCGACGGAUUGGUCGCGCCUUCGGUGUGUACUGGUCUUGCCGGUUUCUCCCUUCUGACGAACCACGAUGUCAUUAAUUUGGUGUCGUGGGGAAUCAGGACUGUUACUUUGAAAAAUUAGAGUGUUUAAAGCAGGCAUUAGCUUGAAUACAUUAGCAUGGAAUAAUGAAAUAGGACGUUUGAUCUUAUUUUGUUGGUUUCUAGGAUCGACGUAAUGAUUAAUAGGGAUAGUUGGGGGCAUUAGUAUUCAAUUGUCAGAGGUGAAAUUCUUGGAUUUAUUGAAGACUAACUACUGCGAAAGCAUUUGCCAAGGAUGUUUUCAUUAAUCAAGAACGAAAGUUAGGGGAUCGAAGACGAUCAGAUACCGUCGUAGUCUUAACC
RNAcentral lists this ribosomal RNA (457 nucleotides) under uncultured Glomus. RNAcentral describes it as "SSU rRNA". It matches the Rfam family "Eukaryotic small subunit ribosomal RNA", at positions 569 to 1031 of the family's 1831-position model. The record is from RNAcentral. Lineage: Eukaryota; Fungi; Glomeromycota; Glomeromycetes; Glomerales; Glomeraceae.